GCUUCCUCCCAUCCAUCAGCUCAGCAGCAGGCAGGAAGUGAUGCACCAGCCUGAGUGACACCAGUGGUCCCAGUCCUGCAGCUCCAGCGAUGCUUAAUGUGGGUAAGGACCCUGCAGGUGUGAGGAGGCACUUAGGGCCCAUCCCAGCAAAACCUCCCAAGCUGGAUCUGGAUGCUUCCAUCAGCAGAUUUGCCUGGGGUGAAUGGCCUGGGGGAUGCCCACAGGGAGAUGGAGGUGCAGGAGAGCCAGGCAUGAAGCUGCACCAAAGCAUGGGACACCAGGAUGUUGGUGCACAGUGAUGGGAAGAGUGGGCCACACUGAUGGUCUUGCUGCCGCUGCCUGGCUGCAAGCGGGGUCCUGUAUGAAACCCUAAACUGGCUGGGGUAAGUAUUUGGGGUCGCAGGUACCAAAACUAUGCAGGAGAGCUCUGAGUAUCAACCCUACCCAGAAGCCUUGCAGCUAAAACGUGGCUGCCCUCCCGCUUGCACCACCCACCUCCCAUUCCCAAAACCUGCAGAAGCUGCUGGUAUGGGAUGCUUGGGGAGGGUCGCAUCUCCCCGGACCCUGUCCCUAUCCCGCACCCAGCUCUGACCUGCAGUGGUGGUGUCCACAUCCCUGGCUGCCAUCUCCUCCACUUCUGCCCUCUUGCGCAGCUCCAGCCGCCGCGAGAAGCCCUCCCUGGGCUUCCACAGGUCCUG
Long non-coding RNA from Pezoporus occidentalis (night parrot), 698 nucleotides. RefSeq lists it as uncharacterized. The record is from RefSeq and is a predicted model, not a curated record. The transcript is spliced from 3 exons. Lineage: Eukaryota; Metazoa; Chordata; Aves; Psittaciformes; Psittacidae.